GAUGAACGCUGGCGGCGUGCCUAAUACAUGCAAGUCGAGCGAACAGAUGAGGAGCUUGCUCCUCUGACGUUAGCGGCGGACGGGUGAGUAACACGUGGAUAACCUACCUAUAAGACUGGGAUAACUUCGGGAAACCGGAGCUAAUACCGGAUAAUAUAUUGAACCGCAUGGUUCAAUAGUGAAAGACGGUUUUGCUGUCACUUAUAGAUGGAUCCGCGCCGCAUUAGCUAGUUGGUAAGGUAACGGCUUACCAAGGCAACGAUGCGUAGCCGACCUGAGAGGGUGAUCGGCCACACUGGAACUGAGACACGGUCCAGACUCCUACGGGCGGCAGCAGUAGGGAAUCUUCCGCAAUGGGCGACAGCCUGACGGAGCAACGCCGCGUGAGUGAUGAAGGUCUUCGGAUCGUAAAACUCUGUUAUUAGGGAAGAACAAAUGUGUAAGUAACUAUGCACGUCUUGCCGGUACCUAAUCAGAAAGCCACGGCUAACUACGUG
RNAcentral lists this ribosomal RNA (497 nucleotides) under uncultured bacterium. Its description in RNAcentral is "partial 16S ribosomal RNA". It matches the Rfam family "Bacterial small subunit ribosomal RNA", at positions 28 to 507 of the family's 1533-position model. The record is from RNAcentral.